AGUAGUGUAUGCUUCUCCUAAAGACUAAGCCAUGCAUGCCUUCGAAUACGAGGAAGCAAUUCUCUCUGAAUCUGCGAACGGCUCCGCAAACCAGUUGUAAACUAAAGCAAGCAAGCCUGCGGCUCGGCCUUCACGGGUUGGGUCGUGGGUGAUACGGAUAACCCUGGUAAUUCUGAGGCUAAUACGAGAAUAUAAACCCUGGUCGACUGGGCAACCGGAAGAUUGGGGGGCGUGUGAUCUAUUGCAGGAACGAUCCAGGAAGGGGUGCACGCUCGGACCGCGACAAAGACAGCAACGGUGAACCUUCACGGGGGAUCUCGAGCUGAGCGGCUCUUGCGAUGUGCUUCUGACCUAUCAACUAGAUGGCAGCGUAACGGACAUGCCAUGGUUACAACGGGUACAGAGGAUUAGGGUUCGAUCCUGGAGAGUGGGCCUGAGAGAUUGCUCAUACUUCUAAGGAAGGCAGCAGGCGCGCAACGUUCCCCUUGGGCAAUGCCCGAGGGCGUUAGGGGACAUAUGAAUGGUUGCCUUUUUGGUGGCCAAUUCAAAUGGGUCUGUUCUAAACAGCCUCU
Molecule: ribosomal RNA, 572 nt
Filed under: Diderma montanum
Lineage: Eukaryota; Evosea; Eumycetozoa; Physariida; Didymiaceae
Description: SSU rRNA
Rfam family: Eukaryotic small subunit ribosomal RNA
Source: RNAcentral